GGGCACAUGGUGUAGGUGGUUUAUCACGCUCGCUCAGCAUGCGAGAAUGUCCGGUUCAAAUCCGAACGUGUCCA
Stereum hirsutum FP-91666 SS1 is the source of this 74-nucleotide non-coding RNA. NCBI's taxonomy places the organism in Eukaryota, Fungi, Basidiomycota, Agaricomycetes, Russulales, Stereaceae. The record is from the annotation of a RefSeq genome assembly.